GGAAUAUUGCGCAAUGGGCGAAAGCCUGACGCAGCGACGCCGCGUGGGGGAUGAAGCUUCUCGGAGUGUAAACCCCUUUCGACCCGGACGAAUGCCCCGCAAGGGUUUGACGGUACGGGUAUCAGAAGCCCCGGCUACCUACGUGCCAGCAGCCGCGGUAAUACGUAGGGGGCCAGCGUUGCUCGGAAUUCCUGGGCGUAAAGGGUUCGUAGGCGGUGCGGCAAGUUGGGAGUGAAAUCUCUGGGCUCAACUCAGAGGCUGCUUUCAAAACUGCCGUGCUCGAGUGCGGGAGAGGCGAGUGGAAUUGCAGGUGUAGCGGUGAAAUGCGUAGAUAUCUGCAGGAACACCCGUGGCGAAGGCGGCUCGCUGGACCGCAACUGACGCUGAGGAACGAAAGCUAGGGGAGCAAAC
Molecule: ribosomal RNA, 411 nt
Filed under: uncultured bacterium
Lineage: Bacteria
Description: bacterial SSU rRNA
Rfam family: Bacterial small subunit ribosomal RNA
Source: RNAcentral